Long non-coding RNA from Lagenorhynchus albirostris (white-beaked dolphin), 876 nucleotides. RefSeq lists it as uncharacterized. NCBI's taxonomy places the organism in Eukaryota, Metazoa, Chordata, Mammalia, Artiodactyla, Delphinidae. The record is from RefSeq and is a predicted model, not a curated record. The transcript has 4 exons.
UGUGUGCGUUGUCGGAGUGUGGCGUUCGUUCAGACAUCAAGCCCACCCGAGAGCGGGGACGUGGAAAUGACUUUGGGGAGAAGUCCCCAAGGGCCUGGAUCCCGUUAUCCCUAGAAGGGAGAGAGGCUGGAGCUCCCUCUUGGUUUCUCUUGAUCUCCCACAUCCCUUCCUCCCUUCCUGGUCAGUAAGUUCCAUGGGGGCAGAACCCCUGGAUAGGAAGCCCUAGCUCUGCCAUCCACUAGCCUGCAGUCUUCAGUAAACUGCACAUCCUCUCUGGGCCUUUUUACAUAGUGGACUUCUAGACACCUUGGCAGAGGGUGGGGAAGAUACCUUGGCCUUUGGAGUCCUUCUGAUACCUUACAAGCCACAUUGAUCAGGCAGUCCCUACUUCUGGAAUAAGGCUUGGCCCGGUAGGAACUACAUUUGUCACUGAGGUCCUUGCUCUGCUAUUUUGAAUAGAGAAGUCCUUGAGUCUCAGGCCAGGAGAUGUGGCCAGAAAGGGCUACUUUCAUAGUUGGGCCAUCCUGCAAACACUGUUUUCAAGGGUCUGCAAUCUGAAAAACUGUGGCCAAGGAAGCAGGGCUUCCCUGGUGGCACAGUGGUUGAGAAUCUGCCUGCCAAUGCAGGGGACACGGGUUCGAGCCUUGGUCUGGGAAGAUCCCACAUGCCACGGAGCAAGUAGGCCCGUGAGCCACAACUACUGAGCCUGCGCGUCUGGAGCCUGUGCUCCCAACAAGAAAGGCCACAAUAGUGAGAGGCCCACGCACCACGAUGAAGAGUGGCCCCCGCUUGCCGCAACUAGAGAAAGCCCUCGCACAGAAACAAAGACCCAACACAGCCAAAAAUAAAUAAAUACAUUAAUUAAUUAAAACUGUC